UCUUGCCUGGAAAAUUCCAUGGACAGAGAAUCCUGAUGGGCUACAGUCCAUGGGAUUACAGCGAGUCAGACACAACUGAGUGACUAACACUUUUACUGUGUUGUUUUUUUUUUUACAAGAAGGGGCAGCUCCUAGGGCUGACAAGCCAGCUUGUCACAUCCUAUUUUGGCAGAAGUUGUGAGACUCUGGGCAAGACACAGGACGCUGUGACCCACAGCGAGAGCAGUGCGAGAGCUUAUCCUUCUUUUGUGGUGGGUCCCCCUCCCCCUCCCCAAGGCCCUCCUGAGGAUGCCUUCAUCGGCAGAGGGUAGCUCUACAGAAGCAGAACCCUAGCUUAUGCUUCCUAAACAGGGAAAAAUGAGAAGUCACUGCAUUUAGAGGAAGCCAAGGCGAGCCUGCUGUUUCCUGGACAGGGAUGCUAGCACCUCCCUGGCAGCCGCCCACUGCAGACACGGCCCUGGGAAGCCCCUGGGUGAAGAGAAGGGACUCAAGUGCGGGGAACACUCAGCAGGCUCAGUGCCCUCGGGGCCUCGCCCUUCUCAACAGCAGAAUGUAAAGUAGGCAUGAAGCACGGAGACAGAAGGAAAAAGGCAUGAAAAACUAGUUUUGUUGAUGUGGUACUGUUUCCUUUGGCAUUGUUCUGUGUGCAAUGUGUACACGUGUGUGUAAGCAUAUUUGUGUAUGAGGACUGGGCAACAACCACUGUCUGUCUGUUUUCAGAAAACCAAGCAAGAGAGCUCUUCCUGCCAGUGCCACCUCUGCCUCUCUCCUCUGCCAGAGGUGCACGCGGGUUGUCACUGUCCUCGCUGCCGGCCACCGGGAGGACACGUCAUCUCCCCACGUCCCCUGUGGUGCACAGCUCUGCACCUCCCGGAGGCACCCUGUGAGCGCCAGCUCUGAGCUGCCCCCGCCCCCACCCGAGGCAUCAUUCAUCAUGGACAGGAUGGCUUUGUUUCUUCUUUUCCAACUCUUGUCCACUUUCGCCUUCUUGUGUUUUUAGGGAAACUUCCUAUACCAUAGCUGGACAUCCUUAUCUUAUUACUAAUCUUAAUGUGAAUGCUUUUAAGGAUUCACCAUUAGUAUGAAGAAUCAUUGAUGAAUUUCUCCAUUAUUUGAAUAAAUGUAUUAAGGCUGGAGUUAUGGUUUGAGGAAGAUCAGAGGGAGAAUGCCAUUUUCAUCUCAUCAUGUCGAGGGUACCUACUCAGAAUAGGAUUUAUGAUGACUAGGAUUUAUUGAACCUGAUCUGAUCAGCUGGCUGAAGCCAUUGUAUUCUGUAUGCCACCUUUCCAUGGUGUGUGCUUUGGAAAGAAGUCACCUUGUGGAUGACACACUUAAAGAGUGGGAGUCAUGCUCCCCCUUUGCUAGCCUAGGGGGCUAAAGUAUGUAAAUACACUUUGGCCACUGAGAACCGUUUUGGAAACAAGUUCUGGUCACUGGGUCUGCUGGUUGCUCUUUCAGGCUCCCUCAGCUGGCAGAGUAAAGAAAUGUGUGUGCAGCCAACGUAUGUGUAUGUCUGUAAGUAUUUCUCUGUGCAGCCAUCUGUAUCCACAUUAAGUUCUUACCAUCGUCUACUCUGUCCCUUCCAUGUGGAUUAUUCUAGCUGCCCCCUCUUUCUUAUCUGUAAAUUCUCUGAUAAGAAAACUGGCUCCAACCAUCCACCAUCCAUCUGCUCAAUUGUUCAGGCCCAGCAAACAUGUAUAAUGGCAUCAGAACUGUGAAAUUGGUGCACCGCGGGAACUGACUUUAUCAACUGAAGUGCUGACUUGUGUGAACUGGUGCACCAUGGGAACUGACUUUAUCCCCUGAAGUACUGUCCUGUGUGAACCGGUGGACUGUGGGAACCGACUUUAUCCACUGAAUGGCUGUCCUGUGUGCACCAGUACAUCGUGGGAACUGACUUUAUCCCCUGAAGCGCUGUCCUGUGUGAACCGGUGCACCGUCGGAACAGACUUGAUCCACUGAAGGGCUGUCCUGUGUGCACCGGUGCAUCGUGGGAACUGACUUUAUCCACUGAAGGGCUGUCCUGUGUGAACCGGUGCACCGUGGUAACCGACUUUAUCCCCUGAAGCGCUGUCCUGUGUGAACCGGUACACCGUGGGAACUGACUUUAUCCCCUGAAGCGCUGUCCUGUGUGAACCGGUACACCGUGGGAACUGACUUUAUCCCCUGAAACGCUGUCCUGUGUGAACAGGUGCACCAUGGGAACUGACUUUCUCCACUGAAGGGCUGUCCUGUGUGAACCGGUACACCGUGGGAACUGACUUUGUCCCUGAAGCGCUGUCCUGUGUGCACUGGUGCAUCAUGGGAACUGACUUUAUCCACUGAAGGGCUGUCCUGUGUGAACAAGUGCACCAUGGAAACCCAACUUUAUCCACUGAAGGGCUGUCCUGUGUGAACCGGUACACCAUGGGAACUGACUUUGUCCCUGAAGCGCUGUCCUAUGUGCACUGGUGCAUCAUGGGAACUGACUUUAUCCACUGAAGGGCUGUCCUGUGUGCACCAGUACAUCGUGGUAACCAACUGUGUCCCCUGAAGUGCUGUCCUGUAUGAACUGGUGCACAGUAGGAACCGACUUUGUCCCCUGAAGCGCUGUCCUGUGUGCACCGGUGCAUCGUGGGAACUGACUUUAUCCACCGAAGGGCUGUCCUGUGUGAACCGGUGCACCGUGGUAACCAACUUUAUCCC
Long non-coding RNA from Bubalus bubalis (water buffalo), 2685 nucleotides. RefSeq lists it as uncharacterized. The transcript is spliced from 3 exons. Lineage: Eukaryota; Metazoa; Chordata; Mammalia; Artiodactyla; Bovidae. The record is from RefSeq and is a predicted model, not a curated record.